CCUACGGGAGGCAGCAGUGGGGAAUAUUGCACAAUGGGGGAAACCCUGAUGCAGCGACGCCGCGUGAGUGAAGAAGUAAUUCGUUAUGUAAAGCUCUAUCAGCAGGGAAGAAAAUGACGGUACCUGAGUAAGAAGCCCCGGCUAACUACGUGCCAGCAGCCGCGGUAAUACGUAGGGGGCAAGCGUUAUCCGGAUUUACUGGGUGGAAAGGGAGCGUAGACGGCAGUGCAAGUCUGGAGUGAAAGGCGGGGGCUCAACCCCCGGACUGCUCUUGAAACUGUACGGCUGGAGUGCAGGAGAGGUAAGUGGAAUUCCUAGUGUAGCGGUGAAAUGCGUAGAUAUUAGGAGGAACACCAGUGGCGAAGGCGGCUUACUGGACUGUAACUGACGUUGAGGCUCGAAAGCGUGGGGAGCAAACAGGAUUAGAUACCCUUGUAGUC
This 440-nucleotide ribosomal RNA is filed under the name uncultured bacterium. Its description in RNAcentral is "partial 16S ribosomal RNA". It matches the Rfam family "Bacterial small subunit ribosomal RNA", at positions 338 to 795 of the family's 1533-position model. The record is from RNAcentral.